UAGCUAGUUGGUGAGGUAAAGGCUUACCAAGGCGACGAUCUGUAGCGGGUCUGAGAGGAUGAUCCGCCACACUGGAACUGAGACACGGUCCAGACUCCUACGGGAGGCAGCAGUGGGGAAUUUUGGACAAUGGGGGCAACCCUGAUCCAGCCAUGCCGCGUGAGUGAAGAAGGCCUUCGGGUUGUAAAGCUCUUUCGGCCGGGAAGAAAUCGCAUGGGCCAAUACCCUGUGUGGAUGACGGUACCGGAAUAAGAAGCACCGGCUAACUACGUGCCAGCAGCCGCGGUAAUACGUAGGGUGCGAGCGUUAAUCGGAAUUACUGGGCGUAAAGCGUGCGCAGGCGGUUUUGUAAGACAGGCGUGAAAUCCCCGGGCUUAACCUGGGAACUGCGUUUGUGACUGCAAGGCUAGAGUACGGCAGAGGGGGGUGGAAUUCCACGUGUAGCAGUGAAAUGCGUAGAGAUGUGGAGGAACACCAAUGGCGAAGGCAGCCCCCUGGGUCGAUACUGACGCUCAUGCACGAAAGCGUGGGUAGCGAACAGGGUUAGAUACCCUGGUAGUCCACGCCCUAAACUAUGUCAACUAGGUGUUGGGUGGGUAAAACCAUUUAGUACCGUAGCUAACGCGUGAAGUUGACCGCCUGGGGAGUACGGCCGCAAGGUUAAAACUCAAAGGAAUUGACGGGGACCCGCACAGGCGGUGGAUGAUGUGGAUUAAUUCGAUGCAACGCGAAAAACCUUACCUACCCUUGACAUGCCAGGAACUUGCCAGAGAUGGCUUGGUGCCCGAAAGGGAGCCUGGACACAGGUGCUGCAUGGCUGUCGUCAGCUCGUGUCGUGAGAUGUUGGGUUAAGUCCCGCAACGAGCGCAACCCUUGUCGUUAAUUGCCAUCAUUUAGUUGGGCACUUUAACGAGACUGCCGGUGACAAACCGGAGGAAGGUGGGGAUGACGUCAAGUCCUCAUGGCCCUUAUGGGUAGGGCUUCACACGUCAUACAAUGGUCGGUACAAAGGGUUGCCAAGCCGCGAGGCGGAGCCAAUCCCAGAAAGCCGAUCGUAGUCCGGAUUGCAGGCUGCAACUCGCCUGCAUGAAGUCGGAAUCGCUAGUAAUCGUGGAUCAGCAUGUCACGGUGAAUACGUUCCCGGGUCUUGUACACACCGCCCGUCACACCAUGGGAGCGGGUUCCGCCAGAAGUAGGUAGCCUAACCGCAAGGGGGGCGCUUACCACGGCGGGGUUCGUGACUGGGGUGAAGUCGUAACAAGGUAGCCGUAGGGGAACCUGCGGCUG
RNAcentral lists this ribosomal RNA (1287 nucleotides) under metagenome. RNAcentral's name for it is "bacterial SSU rRNA". It matches the Rfam family "Bacterial small subunit ribosomal RNA", at positions 242 to 1520 of the family's 1533-position model. The record is from RNAcentral.